Molecule: long non-coding RNA, 702 nt
Organism: Triticum dicoccoides
Lineage: Eukaryota; Viridiplantae; Streptophyta; Magnoliopsida; Poales; Poaceae
Exons: 2
Source: RefSeq, a predicted model, not a curated record
CUCAGAUGUGCCGGCGCCACUGCCUGCGCCUUCUCCAGCGCCGCCUCGGUCACCGGCGCCAACUCCGGUCAGUGGUCUCCGGCACGCCCUCGCGGCUGGACGAGGCAGAGAUGUGCCGAGGAUCCCCACGCCCUUGGUUCUCAUGUUCUCUGCUCCCAGCCGCAGCAGAUCGUCCCAAAGGCAUUAUCGUGAGGAGGGAAGCGGCCGCAGAUUAAGGACAACGCGGGUUAAGAGCAUGGUCAUAGUCUAGGAGCACGCCCGGUGGUCGGUACGUAUGUUGUCUCCAUGCCAAAAAUAGCCACUUGAUUAUUUUAACAAAUCCCUCUUCUGCCUCUUAGUCAUGCUCAAAUCUGAGCUACCAUGUGUCUACUGAGCUUAAAAUUACCCACAACCCACAAUAGAAGGCAAGUAUGAUUUGACAGUGUAUGACAUGGUAAUCUAGCUUUAUAAAAUCCAAAUUGAUCAGGAUAUGCACAUAGAUGUUUACAUAUUUGCAUCCGUAGUGUCACUUAUAGGAUUGUAAUUAAUAGCAAUCAUGGAGAGAGUCGGUUCGUUUUAUUAUCAGCACGUCUCUUCUUCUGCAUCCUGAAGAUCUGCUAAAAUAUGAAGUGAAUUUCCUGUUUUAUCUCACAUUUACCAAUUACACAUUGAAAUAUUGUGUUUGUCAAGAGAGUUUGAUUUGUACUUUGGAAGUUUUGGGAU